GCCUGGGUGGCUCAGUCGGUUGAGCGUCCGACUUCAGCUCAGGUCAUGAUCUUGCAGUUUGUGGGUCCAAGCCCCACAUCAGGCU
RNAcentral lists this transfer RNA (85 nucleotides) under Felis catus (domestic cat). It matches the Rfam family "tRNA". Rfam says of the family: Transfer RNA (tRNA) molecules are approximately 80 nucleotides in length. Their secondary structure includes four short double-helical elements and three loops (D, anti-codon, and T loops). RNAcentral also lists the same sequence under 2 other names. The record is from Rfam by way of RNAcentral. Lineage: Eukaryota; Metazoa; Chordata; Mammalia; Carnivora; Felidae.